GACGAACGCUGGCGGCGUGCUUAACACAUGCAAGUCGAACGGAAAGGCCCUGCUUUUGUGGGGUGCUCGAGUGGCGAACGGGUGAGUAACACGUGAGUAACCUGCCCUUGACUUUGGGAUAACUUCAGGAAACUGGGGCUAAUACCGGAUAGGAGCUCCUGCUGCAUGGUGGGGGUUGGAAAGUUUCGGCGGUUGGGGAUGGACUCGCGGCUUAUCAGCUUGUUGGUGGGGUAGUGGCUUACCACGGGUUUGACGGGUAGCCGGCCUGAGAGGGUGACCGGCCACAUUGGGACUGAGAUACGGCCCAGACUCCUACGGGAGGCAGCAGUGGGGAAUAUUGCACGAUGGGCGGAAGCCUGAUGCAGCAACGCCGCGUGCGGGAUGACGGCCUUCGGGUUGUAAACCGCUUUCGCCUGUGACGAAGCGUGAGUGACGGUAAUGGGUAAAGAAGCACCGGCUAACUACGUG
RNAcentral lists this ribosomal RNA (468 nucleotides) under uncultured bacterium. RNAcentral describes it as "partial 16S ribosomal RNA". It matches the Rfam family "Bacterial small subunit ribosomal RNA", at positions 28 to 507 of the family's 1533-position model. The record is from RNAcentral.